UGAGUGGCGGACGGGUGAGUAACGCGUGGGCAACCUGGCCUGUACAGGGGGAUAACACUUAGAAAUAGGUGCUAAUACCGCAUAACGGGGGGAGCCGCAUGGCACCCCCCUGAAAACUCCGGUGGUACAGGAUGGGCCCGCGUCUGAUUAGCUGGUUGGCAGGGUAACGGCCUACCAAGGCGACGAUCAGUAGCCGGCCUGAGAGGGCGGACGGCCACACUGGGACUGAGACACGGCCCAGACUCCUACGGGAGGCAGCAG
Molecule: ribosomal RNA, 261 nt
Filed under: uncultured bacterium
Lineage: Bacteria
Description: partial 16S ribosomal RNA
Rfam family: Bacterial small subunit ribosomal RNA
Source: RNAcentral